UCGGUUCUCGUUAGAUCACCGAAGUCAAGCAUCAUUGGACGCGGUCAGUACUUGGGUGGGUGACCACCUGGGAACACCGCGUGCCGUUU
Molecule: non-coding RNA, 89 nt
Organism: Caerostris darwini
Lineage: Eukaryota; Metazoa; Arthropoda; Arachnida; Araneae; Araneidae
Source: the annotation of a GenBank genome assembly